GGUUGUAUUUACUUCAGAAUCAAAUCACAGUUUAUCUGUUAAAUCAUAUAAACAGGUGUUAAUUUCAGAGAAACCUUUCUACUCUGUCAAAAUAUCUAGAGUGUUAUAAAUUAAUCUAUAGUGCAAAUAAUCGAAAUUCGACAUUUUUGACAUAAGAAACAGAACGUUAAGACGAUGGAUAAAUUAAUCGAUAUGGAAGAGCGAUAUUAUCAGUUUCUGGAAAAUAAUGACAAUGAGCUAGUUAAAAUUAUGCGGUCCAAAGUAAUGCUUUGACGCGAAUAGCGGCAGUGAUGGAAAGGUGGUACUAGCACCAAAGAGUCAUAACGAGCGGAAAAUCAAAUAACUUCACCAACAACAGGAGCAUAAAAAGAGACCAUGUGCAGCAAAACCUUGGUGUGCAAAUAAAAUACAUAGAAUAUCUUUUGGAUUUAAAUAAAAGAAAUAAAAAAAUUUCAGCAUAUAAAAUACUGACGAGACUUUCCAAAUGCUACUAAAUUUUGUCGAAAAAGAUUUGAAAAAAUAACCUGCAAGAUGUUACACUUUUAUUUCUUCAGAGAAACAACUAUAUGUGACCUGACUAUAUUUGACUACUAAAGAAGUGAUCAAACGUUAGAGUACCCAUCGCAUUUAUAUAUAAUAUUUUGUAUAUCUGAAGUUUUCAAUGCGAUAUGGGACAACAUAAAG
Long non-coding RNA from Teleopsis dalmanni, 684 nucleotides. RefSeq lists it as uncharacterized. The record is from RefSeq and is a predicted model, not a curated record. Lineage: Eukaryota; Metazoa; Arthropoda; Insecta; Diptera; Diopsidae. The transcript has 3 exons.